GUCCUUCUCGAUCAAUCUCAGAUCUUCUGAAUGAGUGCUCUCCCAGAGAGAGGAGAAUGAAAGUGAAAUUCAGUGGAAAGUGCUACUCCAUAUAUACGACUUGGUCAGAGAAUGCUACGAGUCUACGACGUUGGCGACCACGUGAAGUUGAAGACUCGAAGUUGCCGAUAACCUUCUGACUCUACGAGCUAUAUAACAAGUAUACCAUCAUACUGAUCAGGAGAACUUGACUGCUCCAACUGAAGGAUCAACCGUGUCACUGCCUUCAAUGCCACCAUUGGGGUUGAAAGAUCUCCCAUCUUUUGUUCGCAAUAAGAGCUCCUAUUCUUCCCUACUGCGGUUCGUUUUGAGCAGAAAUUUGAAUACGCAGAAAGCAGAUUGGCUCUUGUUCAACACUUUUGAUGAAUUGGAAAAGGAGUUCAAUUUUGGGUUGCUGGGUUUAAUUUCAACAUUCACAAUCAGAGAUAAACUGAAAAAGAGGGACCUAUAUACUAUAUUCCCAAAAUAUCCUUAGUUGGGAUCAAAUCUUGACCUACAGGCCUCCCCUAGAAGUGGAUUAAAAUGACUGCUCUCAAACUCAUUUGGACAUGAUCUCUUGUUCUUUAAACUGUUGAACUCAAUUGUAGUUGGUUUUGGUGGAUUGAAAGAUUGCUUAACUUUUCAUUGUUUUACCUGGCCACUA
RNA transcript from Ipomoea nil (Japanese morning glory), 682 nucleotides. It is a transcript of the gene named UDP-glycosyltransferase 74E2-like, with no coding region annotated. Lineage: Eukaryota; Viridiplantae; Streptophyta; Magnoliopsida; Solanales; Convolvulaceae. The record is from RefSeq and is a predicted model, not a curated record. The transcript is spliced from 3 exons.